This 1905-nucleotide long non-coding RNA is filed under the name Equus caballus (horse). RNAcentral describes it as "lncRNA (ENSECAG00000045242.1)". Lineage: Eukaryota; Metazoa; Chordata; Mammalia; Perissodactyla; Equidae. The record is from RNAcentral.
GAAUCAAAUAGGCCUCUCAUAGCCCCAGAGACUCUUCCAUGGUGCAAAUACUAAGGGAAAUAGCCAAAGUGAUGCCCAUCCUUGGUUGGAGGACGAACAUCAAUAGAUGUACCCAUUGUACAGUGACUAACUUUAAUCUACAGAGAUGUAAGUUACCAAGAAUUUUAUUCUUCCCACAAGAGCUGGAAUAAAUGGUUUUAUAAUGGCCCUCUGCCGUACUCAAAACUUGGAAAGGUGUAGGGGAGAGCAAAUGUCUGAAUAAUGCCUUUGUAUGAAUUGUGGUGAAUGUUAAAAUGUAGGUUCUGGACCACCUAAGUUCUCGGAUACUUUAUGAGUCCAGCAGUACAUGUAUUCUGUUCCAAAAUGAGUAGACACAGAAUUAGUGACCAAAGUGAAUGCUAUGGCUCUUCUCCUAAGUUCUUCCAUAGACCUCAAAUGGUGCAGAUGUGCAGUUUUGUGAAAUUCUGCCUAAAACUUACAGGAACUUAAUGCCUACUUGAAAAUUUUUUAAGACUCCAUUUUGCAAAAAGAAAUAAUUUUAUAAAUCAGGCACAACCAAGGAUUUUUGGCUAAGGGGCGUUGUCAAGUUAAAACAAGUUUAUGCCAGCAGAAUUUUCUGAUUUUUUUUUUAAUAGGAUCUGAGCAAUAUAAGUACUUAUUGACCUUGUAAGGACAUAUUUAACUUUGUCCUGUCACUUUUUACCUUGGUAGUGAAAUCGUUAAUCUUCAGGUUACUAAAUCACCUUGUUUCUGAAGAAUUUCUUUUUGUUUUACUUACAGAGAGUUGUUUUUUGAAAAAGGCGAUGGGGGCGGGGGGGCUGCCUAGAUCUGUUCUUGAUCUUAAUGUUUCUGUUCGUGUAUGUAUUCUCUCAUCUCAUAUUUUCACAAACGAGUUUAUUGCCAGGAAAUGAACAUCAUAAUUUGUAUUCAAAAAUGUUUUGGCAGUUAGUCUUCUGGGAACAACCAAAUGCCAAACAGCAUAACUGUAGAAGCUCAGAUUCUGUGAUACACAAGGACUUGAAACACAAUGUAAUGUGACCUUUCCUUCCCAAUUAAAAGACUAGUGUGAACAACCUUUGCACAUCCGUGCAUCUCGUACAACGUACAAAUGUUUUAUUUUGUCCAGUUCCUAAUCUCUUAGAUGUUUGAAGGAUUGUGUGCUUGAAAAAGCAACAUUAUUGUAGAUGUUACUAAUUUUAAAAUGAGUGCUCCUAAACAAUUAGCAAAGGAAAGGCCCAACAGCAUGUUUGGGGCAUUUUUAAUACUGCAGAAAAAGAUCUUCGCUUAGUAUCUAAUGAUAUGGAGAGACUACGUCAGGAAAGGAAAAUCAUCUCUUAAAUAACCAGAAUUCCCAACUGCAACCAUAUUGACUAUAGAAACUACAAACACCUGCCAGCAAGAGCUAUAAAUAAAAAAUAACCAGAUCCCUGGUAGAGACUCUGAAAGAAUUCUGAGGAAAAAAGAAAAGUCCUUGUGUACAUUGUUUUCUCUUCCCAAAUGCUGUUUUUAAAGUGACCACAAUUUUUCUAUUUACCAAGGAAAUGUGUGGUGUCAGAAUAAUAUGCAGCUGCAUAUUAACUACAUGCAACAGUUAAAGGCAGGAAAUAAAAAUCCUCUGAAACUGGAGGAGGCAUUUAGGCUCACUGGGUAAAAUUUAGUCUAAUCAGUUCAUUUAACAGACAAGCUUGUUAAGAACUUAAAAACUUAUUCACAGGGCUGGCCACGUGGCCAUGUGGUUAAAGUUCCACACUCCGCUUCGGUCGCCCUGGUUUGUGGGUUCGGAUCCUGGACGCGGUCCUACUCCACUCAUCAGUCAUUCUGUGGAGCCAUCCCACGUACAAAAUAGAGGAAGAUGGCACAGAUAUUAGCUCAGGGUGAAUCUUCCUCACCAAAAAAAAAAAAAAA